Etheostoma spectabile (orangethroat darter) is the source of this 88-nucleotide long non-coding RNA. RefSeq lists it as uncharacterized. The record is from RefSeq and is a predicted model, not a curated record. The transcript has 3 exons. NCBI's taxonomy places the organism in Eukaryota, Metazoa, Chordata, Actinopteri, Perciformes, Percidae.
UACUGUCUGUCCAAUCAGAGUUUUCUGUAGCACGACUAAAACAGCUUUUAAACAAACACAUGUUCCACCAAAACAAGUUCCUUCAGAG